UGGGGAAUUUUGCACAAUGGAGGAAACUCUGAUGCAGCGACGCCGCGUGAGCGAUGAAGAUCUUCGGAUUGUAAAACUCUGUCCUUAGUGAAGAUAAUGACAGUAACUAAGAAGCAAGCCCUGGCUAAAUACGUGCCAGCAGCCGCGGUAAUACGUAUGGGGCAAGCGUUGUCCGGAAUUAUUGGGCGUAAAGGGUACGUAGGCGGUUUAAUAAGUCCUAAUUAAAAGGCUAUGGCUCAACCAUAGUAUGGUUAGGAAACUGUUGAACUUGAGUAGAUGAGGGGAAAGUGGAAUUCCAUGUGUAGCGGUGAAAUGCGUAGAUAUAUGGAGGAACACCAAUGGCGAAGGCAACUUUCUGGAAUCAAACUGACGCUGAGGUACGAAGGCGUGGGGAGCAAACAGG
This 403-nucleotide ribosomal RNA is filed under the name Fusobacteriota bacterium. RNAcentral's name for it is "Fusobacteria bacterium partial 16S ribosomal RNA". It matches the Rfam family "Bacterial small subunit ribosomal RNA", at positions 355 to 776 of the family's 1533-position model. Lineage: Bacteria; Fusobacteriati; Fusobacteriota. The record is from RNAcentral.